RNAcentral lists this transfer RNA (82 nucleotides) under Candidatus Aenigmatarchaeota archaeon. Its description in RNAcentral is "tRNA-Ser". It matches the Rfam family "tRNA". From Rfam's summary of the family: Transfer RNA (tRNA) molecules are approximately 80 nucleotides in length. The record is from RNAcentral. Lineage: Archaea; Nanobdellati; Candidatus Aenigmatarchaeota.
GCUGGGAUGGCGGAACGGCAACGCGCUAGCCUGGAAAGCUAGUCCCCUUACGGGGUUCUGGGUUCGAAUCCCAGUCCCAGCG